RNAcentral lists this long non-coding RNA (217 nucleotides) under Elaeis guineensis (African oil palm). Its description in RNAcentral is "long non-coding RNA (EGUI_LNC060790)". Lineage: Eukaryota; Viridiplantae; Streptophyta; Magnoliopsida; Arecales; Arecaceae. The record is from RNAcentral.
AAAAAUCAUAGAUUUGGUAUCAUAUUCAUAUUAUCAUAAGAACAAAAAUCCAUAAAUUGAAAAUUUUAUAGCCAAAGAAGGAUCUUUUGGAUUAAAAAUCUCCAAACCCUACAAAAUAUCAUGCUUCUACUAAGAUUAAACUCUCAAAACUUUAAGGGACCAACUCAUACUGCCACACCUCGUAGAAAAUCCUAUAUGCUCCAGAACAAACCCCAAA